This 253-nucleotide ribosomal RNA is filed under the name uncultured bacterium. Its description in RNAcentral is "partial 16S ribosomal RNA". It matches the Rfam family "Bacterial small subunit ribosomal RNA", at positions 524 to 776 of the family's 1533-position model. The record is from RNAcentral.
UACAGAGGUGGCAAGCGUUGUUCGGCCUUCCUUUUCUUAAAUUUCUCUUAUUCGGCCCGUCAAGUCCCGUGUGAAAGCCCCCGGCUCAACCGGGGAACGGCGCGGGAAACUAGCAGGCUUGAGUUCGGGAGAGGGAAGCGGAAUUCCGGGUGUAGCGGUGAAAUGCGCAGAUAUCCGGAGGAACACCGGUGGCGAAGGCGGCUUCCUGGACCGACACUGACGCUGAGGCGCGAAAGCUAGGGGAGCAAACGGG